Non-coding RNA from Macaca mulatta (Rhesus monkey), 1238 nucleotides. The record is from RefSeq and is a predicted model, not a curated record. Lineage: Eukaryota; Metazoa; Chordata; Mammalia; Primates; Cercopithecidae.
GGGCGCCCGUAGGUGCGGUGGGACCAACGCCACCUCUGCCGGGGUCGAGGGUCAAGGGUAGGGGCUAGGGCCGACCCACCGAGAAGCAGCACUAGGACGUUGCCGUGAAGGGGAAGAGGGAGCCGGCCGCGCGGGAUCCCAAUCUAACGCCAGAACAAACAAACAGAUGGAUAAAUGUCAAGUGCUGGAGUGCCUUUCAGGAAAGCAAUCAUCCUUCAGAUUUUCCUGAUUUCCAGAGAUGCUGGCUACGAAUGGCUUCCUUUUCCCUGACAGUCUUCUGUGAGUCACAGGGCACUUGGUCUGGCAUAAAGCACUGGGGACGUUUGUAGGAACAAAGCUGUACGAGUACACCAGCGUCCCCAUUCCUCACGGGACUCGCCUCCUGCAGGUAAUGGACAGAGGCGGGGCCGUCAGAGGCUCACUUCCUGUCUGGGGAAAAACACACCAGGUCUUGCAACCUCGGACAGAACUGUGGAGUAGAAAAUCUGGAAUUCAUCAUUGUUAUUAUUUUUUUGCUCUGCCUGACAUCAUUUGCUUUUAAAUUUAUGUUUUACUUAAAGUAAUAUGAAGAUGGUUUAAAUUUCUUGAGCACGUAUUAACUGGGAGAGAAGGGGAUCAGAAGAGAGGUAUGAGAAGGUGGGAGAUGAUUCCAAAGAAACACUGAACAAAUCAAAAACCCGAAAGCAUGCUACUGAAAACGCACACACUUAAAUCAGAGGUGGACAGUGGUUAUUUUGGGCAAUUUUACCUUAAUCUCAGAAGGGGAAUUACUGCGCUAAGCAGUAACCCCUAAAACUCAAGGCGAGAAAGUUGAGGGCAGUGAGCUCAGGUGAAACCUCGGAAACAUGUUGUUUCAGGGCCCAGACUUUAUCCCUAAACCGCUCCAUAGUUUACUGGAAGGUCCUGCUCUGUAAUGGAGAGGUGGCCACCAUGUGGGGAACUGGCCUUCUGGCCUCUGUGUGAGGAUAUCAUCGUCCUACAGGGUCCUGCUCUCUGCCUUCAUUUGUCACCAUGGUACUCAGACCACAGACAAAGGAACACACACAGGCCUUUCCUGGGGAAGACAAGUGAUGUUUAUGAUGUAGGGGCUCUUUCACAAGCCUGGGGAACCACAGCUGUCUGAACACCUGUGCAUGUUUCAAAAGCCUAUAAUAAUAGUCACAGCUAAGAGUAAAGACAAAGUUGACAUAAUGAAAAGUAACUUGGACUUUCAUAUAUUUUUCAUUUUAAAAGUGAUC